Molecule: transfer RNA, 56 nt
Filed under: Cyrtodactylus cf. irregularis
Lineage: Eukaryota; Metazoa; Chordata; Lepidosauria; Squamata; Gekkonidae
Description: partial tRNA-Tyr
Source: RNAcentral
GGCCGAGCAGGCGGCGAGUUGUAGCCUCGUGUACGGGRAGAAUGCCCCCCAGCCAA